Mesocricetus auratus (golden hamster) is the source of this 1147-nucleotide long non-coding RNA. RefSeq lists it as uncharacterized. Lineage: Eukaryota; Metazoa; Chordata; Mammalia; Rodentia; Cricetidae. The transcript is spliced from 2 exons. The record is from RefSeq and is a predicted model, not a curated record.
UGGCCUACUAAGAUGGAAGACAUUCUGUUAGGAUUUUCUCAACAGCAAGGGCUUUAGCUACAAAUGCUGAGCUCACUAUAUUUGCCCAAGAGCGAGUGAUAAUUAGCCGGAUCCUUCUGAAAUUGUUAAUGCUGCUGGCCCUAAAAUAAAUGUCCAUUCUGGAUCAGGUUUCCUACAGUUCCAUUCAGUCUGCAAUCGGAUGGAUACUAUAUUCAAAAUGUACUCAGUCAUUUUAAGUCACAGACAAGAAGCAAAAUGGCUUCCAAGCAGAUUUAAAAAAAAAAAAAAGGUGUUGCAGGAAGACGGCUAUUUCGUGGCAAGCCCAGAGAGCGGAUCACCACAUGAAUCAUGUUCUAAUAUAACUGAGCCACAGAAUGAUAAUUCAGUUGGCCUCAAAACAACACAAUAACAAUAAACUCUUUAACCCAUAGAGAUUUGACUGUGCAGAUCACGCUGUAGGAAAUGAAACAGACUGCUAGAAAUAAGCAACUAUUUACAUAUACGGUUCUGAACCCCAAACUUCUUCACCUGGGAGCACCUCCCGGAGGAGGUUUCAGGUCUGGCAUCAGCCACAGAGACCUCCCAUGAGGGCUCGCCAUGCACUUGUCAUGGGGAAGGAAGGCUUGGGUUUUGGUCCAGCUCUACCCUGUGCUGGGAGGUUACCAUGGAGGGCUGAGGAGGACGGAAGCAGAGGCACUGGCUGAUUCUUAAGAGUUUUGCAAAUAGCUUUUGUUUUAGAGGCGCCGGUGAGCUCAUGAGCAUCAAGUUUUAGAUGCGAUUGCCACACACACCAAGAAUCAUACGCAGAACAGCUUGAAUGCACUGUGAUCACGAGGACUGGAUUUAUCAACAGCAAAACAGGACUGAAAAAAGAAGUUUCUUAUCCAAGGAUUCUCUGAGGCUGCAACCAAGGAGGUGGUGUGGUGAUUUGUUUUCCUCUCUUGCUCCUCUGAGAGUUCAAAGCUCAGAGCUGACCACUGCAAAGGCCACUGUCACAUUUGCUGAAAAUCAAACCACUGAUCGCAGCACCGAAAAUACAAAUAUGAGGAGCCGAGCUGCUUGCACAUGAUGCAGUGCCUAUGAGUUAAAAAUAGAGUCCACCUUGCCUCCUACCUGCAUAAUAAACAUGUAAGUUUCGAGUGUUUAA